GAAGAUAUAGCUCAGUGGUAGAGCACAUGCCUGGCAUGCACAAGGUCCUGGGUUCAAUCCCCAGUACCUCCA
This 72-nucleotide transfer RNA is filed under the name Camelus bactrianus (Bactrian camel). It matches the Rfam family "tRNA". Rfam says of the family: Transfer RNA (tRNA) molecules are approximately 80 nucleotides in length. Lineage: Eukaryota; Metazoa; Chordata; Mammalia; Artiodactyla; Camelidae. RNAcentral also lists the same sequence under 1 other name. The record is from Rfam by way of RNAcentral.